This is an RNA transcript of Rhipicephalus sanguineus (brown dog tick), 1477 nucleotides long. RefSeq lists it as uncharacterized. The record is from RefSeq and is a predicted model, not a curated record. The transcript is spliced from 2 exons. Lineage: Eukaryota; Metazoa; Arthropoda; Arachnida; Ixodida; Ixodidae.
UUUUUUUUUUUCUUCGAGCCUGGUGGCAGACAUGUCACCGCCCCGUUAUAAAGGGGACGCUCAUAGCAUCCAUCCAUCGAUCCAUCCACUGCGUUGACCACGUGGUGGGGGAAGGCGGCAGUUUUAACUAGGGUGCCUUGAUGCGCGUUUUGUACACUAGUUUUAACCCGUAGUAGGUUGUUUGGGUGCGCCUGUUUAGUUAUAUUAACGGUGUUAGACUGAAUUCGUGUGUUCUGUUCGAUGGUCGGGCGGGCGAUGGUUAAGCGGACUGGAAAAACCACGGGCGCCAGUGAUCUCGCGCAGUGCGGGGAAUGCACGCGCUGGUGCUACCUAGAUGAGACGGCCUUCACAAGUCUAGCCGACGCUGAGGAGGCGAGCUUCGUGUGCAAGCUGUGCCAGAAAGUGAAGGCAGCCGUGCAGCGCAUGGGAGCUUGCAUUGGGGAGCUGAAGGUGGAGCGAGAACAGAGGAUUGAGCUCCAAUUAGCGCAACUCGGAGAGGCACGUGAGCGUGGGGAGGCUCCCGCCAGCCUAGUAGAACAAAUGGAGGCCGAUCUAAGGAAGGAACGGGAAAGGCGGGCCGAGCUCGAAGACCGAGUAAAGGCGCUUAUGGCGCUUGACUCCGGUCCCGAGCAGUGUGAGGCGAAAGACAAGGGCAACACGGAAUCCCAGGCAGAAACAGGCAAGAAAGGGGACCUAGGAGCUGCAGUGGCACAUGUAGAAACAGGCGACAGCAGGAGAAAAAGCUACAGCGAUGUGGCGCGGCAGUCUUCCGGUGGGGCAAAGCAAGGAGCACCGGCAGCGGGCUCUUUAUCGCGAGUCAGGGACACUCAGCGAACGGGGGAUCAUCAGCGGGCGCGAACAGGAUCACAGCAAUCGCAAGCCGGAAGCGAACGACUGGACCGUAGAAGGGUCCUAGUGGUGGGGGACUCCAAUGUAGCCAGAGUCGAGCAGGGCGUCCUUACGACAGUGAAGGCAGACAGGAGGGUAAAAGUGGAGGCCCAGUCAGGAAAGUGCAUGACGGAUGCACUGGCCAAAGCAGGAGGUGGUGGGGGACAGCAUAGAGGGUGAAAACCUCGUCAUCAUUCAUGCUGGUCUCAACGAUGUCCUGAAGGGAAAGAGCCAGAACCUUCAAAGACAGUUAGAGGAUGGGGUGCGUAAGCUUCGAGAAGCUUCUGAGGGUGUGCAUGUGACCAUGUGCACCAUCUCAGAAGUCUGGGGGCAAUCUGGCGGUACGGAAAGGAGGGCUAUGUAUAGGAGGAGGGUGAUAGAGGCUAAUUGUGUCAUCAGAGGUAUGAGCCGGCAACUCGGCUACAGCGUAAUGGAGGUAAACAAAGACGUGUACGAGCCCGCCUUCCGCCCUUUUGCACAAGAUGGUAUUCAUUACAGUGGUGCCAUGGGCAGGAGGGUAGGUAAUAGGAUGGGUCGCCAAGCCACAGCUUUUUUAGGGGGACCCAGUGGCCUGAGGCCACCAGUGUAG